RNAcentral lists this ribosomal RNA (473 nucleotides) under uncultured delta proteobacterium. RNAcentral describes it as "bacterial SSU rRNA". It matches the Rfam family "Bacterial small subunit ribosomal RNA", at positions 400 to 863 of the family's 1533-position model. Lineage: Bacteria; Deltaproteobacteria. The record is from RNAcentral.
CGUGAGUGAUGAAGGCCUUCGGGUCGUAAAGCUCUGUCAAGUGGGAAGAACCUAUGCAGUGUUAAUGUCACUGUGUACUGACGGUACCACUGAAGGAAGCACCGGCUAACUCCGUGCCAGCAGCCGCGGUAAUACGGGGGGUGCAAGCGUUAUUCGGAAUCAUUGGGCGUAAAGAGCACGUAGGCGGCCUGGUAAGUCAGAUGUGAAAGCCCGGGGCUUAACCCCGGAAGUGCAUUUGAUACUGUCAGGCUUGAGUAUGGGAGAGGGAAGUGGAAUUCCUGGUGUAGAGGUGAAAUUCGUAGAUAUCAGGAGGAACACCGGUGGCGAAGGCGACUUCCUGGACCAAUACUGACGCUGAGGUGCGAAGGCGUGGGUAGCAAACAGGAUUAGAUACCCUGGUAGUCCACGCAGUAAACGUUGUUCACUAGGUGUAGCGGGUAUUGACCCCUGCUGUGCCGCAGUUAACGCAUUAA